This is a long non-coding RNA of Hemibagrus wyckioides, 555 nucleotides long. RefSeq lists it as uncharacterized. The record is from RefSeq and is a predicted model, not a curated record. Lineage: Eukaryota; Metazoa; Chordata; Actinopteri; Siluriformes; Bagridae. The transcript has 3 exons.
GAGACUGGGAGUGACUGCUUCUCCUAACCCAACAAAAGGCUUGUGCCUGCUAAACAAAGCUAGACAUAUGUGAUGAUUGCAGAAAUGCCAAUAAAUAGGAAAAGAUACCAUUGCUUCUGCUCGGAUGUCAGUGUGUCUGGCGGACAUUUCAUCUUGGAUGACAGCUCAUCAGCUGAAACUUAAUCCCAGCAAAACUGAACUGCUGGUCAUCCCAGGUGAUUCAUCCCCAGCCCAGGAUCUUGCAUUAUCUCUGAACAACUUGAUGAUCUCCCCUUCAGCCACUGCUAGCAACCUUGGGCCUGUGACCAGGGGACUGCUGGGGACAGAACCACUUGGAGACUAUCACACCAUCACAGAACUUGCAUUGCAUCUGUCAGCUUGUGACAGCAAGGAAUUAGUGUCUAUAAUAAACUCAGAAACUACACUGACCUAAUAGUUGCACAUGAGCCCUUGGUGUCUGUUGUAGAAAGGAAAUUAUUUAGAUUUACAUUAUUUACUCUCCAGUAUCACCCAAAUGAGGACGGGUUCCCUUCUGAGCCUGGUUCCUCUCAAGGU